Molecule: ribosomal RNA, 472 nt
Filed under: uncultured bacterium
Lineage: Bacteria
Description: bacterial SSU rRNA
Rfam family: Bacterial small subunit ribosomal RNA
Source: RNAcentral
UUCGCAAUGCCCGAAAGGGUGAACGAGCGACGCCGCGUGCGGGAUGAAGGCCUUCGGGUCGUAAACCACUGUCAUUGGGAAAGAAGGCCGGAAUGGCGAAUUCCGGAGAGACGGUACCCAAGAAGGAAGCCCCGGCUAACUCCGUGCCAGCAGCCGCGGUAAUACGGAGGGGGCAAGCGUUGUUCGGAUUUACUGGGCGUAAAGGGUGUGUAGGCGGUUGCGUCAGUCUGGUGUGAAAUCUUCACCGCUCAACGGGAAGGAGCCACUGGAAACUGCGCAACUCGAGUGUGGUAGAGGCUAGCGGAAUUCCUGGUGUAGCGGUGGAAUGUGUAGAUAUUAGAAGGAACAUCAGUGGCGAAGGCGAUUUGCUGGGCCAUCACUGACAGUCAUGCACGAAAGCGUGGGGAGCAAAUAGGAUUAGAUACCCUAGUAGUCCACGCCGUAAACGAUGGGCACUAAGUAGAGGGGUUUU